AACGUUUACCCGCACUUAAAGCGCUUGAAAAAUUCAACGAGUUACUUCCCUUAGCUGACUCUUUUGUGUAAACAAUAUGCAAUAUGGUGGCAAACUUGGCUGCAGAGCUCUGUGUUCUAUAACAACGGGGCUACAGUGGAUCAGAGCUUGAGCUGACUUGGAAGCAGACUAGUCAUGACUAUGUCGACGAUGCAGAAGCAAAAUUGUGGAUUCAGUCAAGAAGGAAAAUGGGCCUUUGUGUUUAUCGCACAGUGCUUCACCAUCCAGCAAUUAUUUACUGACAUCAGGAAAAGAAAACACUGUUGUACAAGACACAAUUAAAGAAGAUAUAGGCUCAUCUGUAAAUCAAGAACUCACAGUUUAUAGGAUACCUACCAGCAGUUAUUCACAAACAUCUGAUGGUGUAAAUUCAAGCACAAAUACAGAUGAUUUUGAUCAGAUU
Molecule: long non-coding RNA, 442 nt
Organism: Saccostrea cuccullata (small rock oyster)
Lineage: Eukaryota; Metazoa; Mollusca; Bivalvia; Ostreida; Ostreidae
Exons: 3
Source: RefSeq, a predicted model, not a curated record